ACUUUCUGCGCAAAGAGAAUAAGGAUGGAGAAUAUGUCGGAGGGAAGAGGGGCAAUCAGAGGAGUACCGUCACGGGAGUUGGCUAGUUAAAGUUGAUUAAAGUUAUGUCGUGGUACCGUCAGUUGAGCCAAAGUGAAAAGAAGAGGAUCAUCUCCAGACGGUUGCGACGUGGCGAGAAACCUUCGUGGGAUCUUUCACGGUUGAGCAAGGGAGGAACGUGUUCUGCGCGUCUGUCCCGGAUAAGUAUCGGAGCAACAGAAAAUCGCCUCGCUUCUCUUACGAUUUAGCACAAUGUAAUUUGACCUGAACAGACUGUAAUGAAAUCAAUGAAAGGUAAGGGUGA
This is a long non-coding RNA of Bombus pascuorum, 343 nucleotides long. RefSeq lists it as uncharacterized. NCBI's taxonomy places the organism in Eukaryota, Metazoa, Arthropoda, Insecta, Hymenoptera, Apidae. The record is from RefSeq and is a predicted model, not a curated record. The transcript has 2 exons.